CUUCGACGGACUGCUGCCGGGGCGCGACAUCGCCGUCGACAUGAGAUUACCUGGUCUUUUUGCACAGCAUGCUUCCGCACACUGGAAUAGACUUCCCAGAGCAUUGGUGAAUGUAAAACGUGUGACGCAGCCCAAGCUUCGGACUUUUUUAUGCACCAGUCGAACGCUGCCUGCUUCAGUACCUCGGAUGCGGCCCAAUGCGUUCUUUACAAGCCCUGUCAUUUUGUCUCUUCGUUAUGAUGAGAAAACAUCAAAUGGGCAAUUCAGCGAAAAAGCCGGCGUCGAUCUGUAGCAGCCAAACGGCACCUCAAUUCCCAUUGGCUACGACGCCACGUCACGUGCGCGCCUCGACGGAGUAGAGCGGGCGAAAGGGAGCCCCUGCUGUUUCUCUGGCGCGCCAGGUGUUGCCUGAGGGGAAAGGGCCUCACCGCGACGCCACGUCACCCUCGCUCUCGGACGCCUGCAUUAUCCACGCGUUUCUUGUACGUGCAACCUCUCGCGUGUGUUCUAACUCCG
Long non-coding RNA from Dermacentor andersoni, 516 nucleotides. RefSeq lists it as uncharacterized. The record is from RefSeq and is a predicted model, not a curated record. NCBI's taxonomy places the organism in Eukaryota, Metazoa, Arthropoda, Arachnida, Ixodida, Ixodidae.